Camellia sinensis is the source of this 859-nucleotide non-coding RNA. The record is from RefSeq and is a predicted model, not a curated record. Lineage: Eukaryota; Viridiplantae; Streptophyta; Magnoliopsida; Ericales; Theaceae.
GAGAUAGAUAUAUCUCUGUUAGGAUGCAUCUCUUUUACUUUCUUUGUUACUCCCUCACCCAUCCAUCUGCUUCACACUGUCCAUCCAUCUUGGUCGCACCGGCUAACCCACGCGUCGCCGGCCGGCACUCGCUACAACAGCAGUUCUAAAAUCCCAACUGAGAGAGCUACUUAAGCUCGUUGUGAAUUAUUUUUGAUGUUAUUUGAAUUAGUGUUUGUGGGUAUUUGACUGCUUACUGGAUAUGUUCAUAAAAAGUUCAAUCAGCAAUAUAAAGCUACAAUUGGGGCUGAUUUUGUCACCAAAGAACUACAAUUUGAUGACAGGCUUGUCACUCUACAAAUAUAGGACACAGCUGGGCAGGAGAGGCUUCAAAGUCUCGGCGUUGCCUUUUAUAGAGUGACAGAUUGUUGUAUUCUUGUAUACGAUGUUAAUGUCAUGAAAUCAUUUGAUACUCUUAACAAUUGGCAUGAAGAAUUUCUCAAACAGAUUCGAGAUUUGAUAUGGACAUGUUUGGUAAUUUGGAGGGCAGAUGGUAGCUCAUUUUGUGUUUUUGUUCAUAUUACCUUACAUGUAUUUUGGUUGGUUGUAAAUUUUUUAUUUUUGUUGGUAUUACAGGGCAUGUUGGGUAAUUCGCCAUUGAUAUUUUAUUUUUGUUGAUAUUAGUAGACAUGUUUUUUGUUAGAUAUUAGAUGUGUUUGGUAAUCCGCAUGCGGUUAAUAUUAUAUUUUUGUGGAUAUUAGUAGAUGUUUUUUGUGGAUAUUAGGAGACAUGUUUAUAAUCUGCAUGCAGUUCAUGUUGUAUUUUUGUGGACAGUGCUGAAAUUCGAUUGUGAUGUUAUGAAAAUGAACAGAUUUCUGUA